Molecule: long non-coding RNA, 501 nt
Organism: Paramisgurnus dabryanus
Lineage: Eukaryota; Metazoa; Chordata; Actinopteri; Cypriniformes; Cobitidae
Source: RefSeq, a predicted model, not a curated record
CAGGCAGUAGCAUCGUUUCACAAUGUUUCCAUCACCAUCAUCAGUGGAUGCCUUUGCUGUCCGUAGCCUGAGAUUUCAGAUUUGCAGCAAAAUUUUUUUGAUUUUCUCAUUUAUUGGAAUGCUGUGCAGGUAUUUGUACCUUGCAGCCAUCCAUUACAAUGUCACCAAGCCGUAACAAAAGCAGGAGAGGGAAAGUACAAGGCUAUGUUCCCAAAACACACAAGUGACAUACCUUAUGUGGAGGAUGUGAUCAGGCUUGUGUUUGAUGAGGUAUUUGAAGAUAAGCUGAAGGAAGCCCUGAUUCCAAUGGACCUGGCAUCACAGUUUGAGAGACCUUCAAAUGAGGACGUGAUUGCAUGCCAUCUUCAGUGCAGGGGUCGUCGAAAGCCAAAAUUGUGACCGAUCUGAUCAGGAAGCUCCAAGCGUAUCUGGAGAACAACACACAACAGGAUGAUAACCUUAUAGUGUCGUCUUAAAUAGCACCAGCUGACAAAGCUUUGA